AAUUACAAAGGUCACGAGGUGGGGUGAGGUAGAGGACAAGGGAAGUUAAUUAGAAAGUAACAACUACAGGCAGCUUGGACUGUCCUAGAGGAUAGCUUAGACCGAAACACUGGCCUUCAUCCUAUCACAGCGGACCACCUCACCCCGUUCCGGACACAACCUCCCUGAGCCCUUAACCCUGAGCAGUCCGGGAGGAGUGCAUAUCUCUCCCUCUAAGCUCCCUUCCUAUCCCAAAGCUUGGCCUGCGUCUCCUGACGGGUGGAUAAGAUCUCCAAGCUUGAGGGGAGGGUCUUGAUGAAGAUAUUCCACUUAGGGCUGAGUGCUACAUAGUCUCUUCCACUCGUUGAACAACGCCAGUUGUGAAGAUCUGCUCUUAACAAGCCCCCAGGACGCUGUGCGGUGAUGCUGCAGCACACUGACAAGGAAUGGGAACCCCACGGAGCCAGUGCUCUCCCAUUGGACUUCCCUUCUGCAUGCUGGGCAAGUCAGGCGAUAAGUAUGGAGUCGAGGAGCUGUCUUCCUUGAGAAAUGAAGUGAAGAGCCACACUUGCCCUUUGAUGGACGUUCCUAGAUAGAGGAGAAGCAGGGAUUACCAAGAGGAUGCCAACUAAAUACACACUAUUCAUGUAUUUAAGUUUGAUCAACGAGACUACCAGAAAGAACCAAAAAUGCCAUUAGCUUCUCAAACUCCAGACCUAAAGAAAUCCAUUAAACAGGAUGUGAGAGCUACUGUUCCUCAGGGGCAUAUUGUAUGAGAAAAUCUUCUACUGCUGGACUCUGAAGAAUUAAGAAGAAAUGAUCAUGACCCUGGGAGAAGGCUGCCCUGAUGGUGAUAGAGGCUUGUGGGUGUGCCACAUACAGCAUCAGCAUCAGAUUGCGGGUUCACGCCUUUGGGAUCAAGGGAAAGAUGGUGUCUAGCUUAGGUAACGGUGAGGGGGUGGCUUGGUGGGAUAUAGAAUCCAGAUUUUUCACAGCCUACAAAUACGCAACUUUGAACUGCCUUAAUACAGCCUUUUGACACAACUGCCAGGUACCUUGUAAAGACUGAGCAAGUGUAAUUGAGUACUUUCAUUUCUACACUUCCUCAGAGACAAACAUAAUGCUCUCCACUGCCCAGGAGGAAACCAAGGCUCAGGAAAGUUCCUCUGCCUACCCUGUACUGGACUUUCACAACACAUCUCACCUACUUGUUUCUUGUUUUCUGUUGAUUCGAUAUAAAUGGCAUUAAGAAUCUACAAUUCCAA
Long non-coding RNA from Peromyscus eremicus (cactus mouse), 1244 nucleotides. RefSeq lists it as uncharacterized. NCBI's taxonomy places the organism in Eukaryota, Metazoa, Chordata, Mammalia, Rodentia, Cricetidae. The record is from RefSeq and is a predicted model, not a curated record. The transcript has 5 exons.